AGUGAACGCUGGCGGUAGGCCUAACACAUGCAAGUCGAACGGCAGCACAGUAAGAGCUUGCUCUUACGGGUGGCGAGUGGCGGACGGGUGAGGAGUACAUCGGAAUCUACUUUUUCGUGGGGGAUAACGUAGGGAAACUUACGCUAAUACCGCAUACGACCUACGGGUGAAAGCAGGGGAUCUUCGGACCUUGCGCGAUUGAAUGAGCCGAUGUCGGAUUAGCUAGUUGGCGGGGUAAAGGCCCACCAAGGCGACGAUCCGUAGCUGGUCUGAGAAGAUGAUCAGCCACACUGGAACUGAGACACGGUCCAGACUCCUACGGGAGGCAGCAGUGGGGAAUAUUGGACAAUGGGCGCAAGCCUGAUCCAGCCAUACCGCGUGGGUGAAGAAGGCCUUCGGGUUGUAAAGCCCUUUUGUUGGGAAAGAAAAGCAGCAGGUUAAUACCCCGCUGUUCUGACGGUACCCAAAGAAUAAGCACCGGCUAACUUCGUG
Molecule: ribosomal RNA, 492 nt
Filed under: uncultured bacterium
Lineage: Bacteria
Description: partial 16S ribosomal RNA
Rfam family: Bacterial small subunit ribosomal RNA
Source: RNAcentral